ACGCUCGACACCUACGGGGGGCAGCAGUAGGGAAUCUUCCACAAUGGACGCAAGUCUGAUGGAGCAACGCCGCGUGAGUGAAGAAGGUCUUCGGAUCGUAAAACUCUGUUGUUAGAGAAGAACACGAGUGAGAGUAACUGUUCAUUCGAUGACGGUAUCUAACCAGCAAGUCACGGCUAACUACGUGCUAGCAGCCGCGGUAAUCUGAGCGGGCUGGCAAGGC
Molecule: ribosomal RNA, 223 nt
Filed under: uncultured bacterium
Lineage: Bacteria
Description: partial 16S ribosomal RNA
Rfam family: Bacterial small subunit ribosomal RNA
Source: RNAcentral